CCAGCAGCUGCCUGAAACAGGUGCAGAGACCCACAGCCAAACAUUAUACCAAACUCGGGAAAUCGCAUAGAAGAGUUGGGAGAAGGAUUGAGGGAAUUAAAGAAUAUAUGGACUCCACAAGAAGACCAACAGAGUCAAGUAACAUGUACCUUGGGGCCUCUUAGAUCCUGAACCACUGACCAAGAACAUACAUGAGCUGAACCCAUGUAUCAGAUGUGCAGCUUGUAGCAGAUGUGCAGCUUGGUCUUCCUGCAGGUUCCCCAACAACUGGAGUAGGCGCUUCCCCUGACUCUGUUGCCUGCCUGUGGAUCCUGUUCUCCUAACCGGGCUGCCUCGUCUGGCCUCAGUGAGAGAGGAUGUAUCUAGCCCUGCAUUGACUUGAGGAAAGGACAUGGAAAAUCCAGCGGUGUCCUUCGACAGGAGCCUAGCAUGACUCUGCGAGGCCCCUACCAGCAGCUGGCUGAGACAGAAGCAGAUACUUACAUCCAACUAUUGAACUGAAGCUGGGGACCCCUAUGGUUGAAUUAGGGGAAGAAUUGAAGAAGCUGAAGGGGAGAGCGACCCUAUAGGAAGACCAGCAGUCUUAACUUACCCAGACCUAAGGAGCUCCCAGAGACUGAGCCACCAACCAGGAGCACAUACAUGGGCCACUCCAACGUUCCCAGCACAGAUAUAGCAGAGGUCUUCCUGGUCAGGCCUUAGUGGGAGAAGAUGAGCUUAAUCCUCAAGAGACUUGAGGCCCCAGGGAUGAAAAGAAGAUGGGACAAGAAAGAAUAAACAAACCGAGCCACUGAGACAACUCAGUAGAUUUUGAGAGACCAUGGAUACACAAAAAUCAGAAACCAUGGAAUUAAGCCCUGUCUGGCCAGGACAUUUGGUCUGAAUUUUCUAAGCUUACUCAGUGGAAAGAUGGAAGAAGUAAGAGCUUGAAGAGGAAAAGGAGGGUCUCUAUGGUUUUAUUACAUUAAAAAAAUACAAGUUUGUGAUUAAAACAUGAAAAAUAAACUA
Molecule: long non-coding RNA, 1008 nt
Organism: Apodemus sylvaticus (European woodmouse)
Lineage: Eukaryota; Metazoa; Chordata; Mammalia; Rodentia; Muridae
Exons: 5
Source: RefSeq, a predicted model, not a curated record